This 228-nucleotide long non-coding RNA is filed under the name Elaeis guineensis (African oil palm). Its description in RNAcentral is "long non-coding RNA (EGUI_LNC064605)". The record is from RNAcentral. Lineage: Eukaryota; Viridiplantae; Streptophyta; Magnoliopsida; Arecales; Arecaceae.
GCUUUCUCUUUCUCUCAUAAAAUAUCUUCCGAUUAUAGCGAGAUGUAUCAGGAUGAUCGUAUACUUUAGUUGACCCAAUCGCUGCUUGAAUUUGAAGCGAAAACUUCACCUCGGGCAAUGGUCGAAGUCAGUGGUUCAGAUCGGGAGGAUGCCAAGUCUGCCAUAAGGGGAUUUUUAGAUUACUUUGGUCCUAGUACUGAGAAUCUAUCCUAUAUGAUCUCGAUCUUU